RNAcentral lists this ribosomal RNA (454 nucleotides) under uncultured bacterium. Its description in RNAcentral is "partial 16S ribosomal RNA". It matches the Rfam family "Bacterial small subunit ribosomal RNA", at positions 28 to 507 of the family's 1533-position model. The record is from RNAcentral.
GACGAACGCUGACAGCAUGCUUAACACAUGCAAGUCUACUUGAAAUUCGGCUUCGGUGGCGGACGGUUGAGUAACGCGUCAAACACUUGCCUCACAGAUAGGGAACCUAUUUGGAACUGAAUGCUAAUCCCUGAAAUUAUGAUUUUAGAGCAUCCUAGAAUUAUGAAUGCUAUAUGCACUGUGAGAGAGCUUUUGGUUCCAUUAGCUAGUUGGAGAGGUCACGGCUCACCAUGGCGAUGAUGGGUACCGGGCAUGAGAGGGUGAGCGGCCACAAGGGGACUGAAACGCGGCCCGUACUCGGAAGGGAGGCAGCAGGGGGGAAUAUUGGACAAUGGACCAAGAGUCUGGGCCAGCAAUUCUGUGUGCACGAUGAAGUUUUUCGGAGUGUAGAGGGCUUGCAGUGGGGAAGAAAAAAAUGACGGUACCAACAUAAGAAGUGACGGCUAAAUACGUG